This 233-nucleotide unclassified non-coding RNA is filed under the name Melitaea cinxia (Glanville fritillary). RNAcentral describes it as "misc RNA ENSMCXG00005016826.1". Lineage: Eukaryota; Metazoa; Arthropoda; Insecta; Lepidoptera; Nymphalidae. The record is from RNAcentral.
GUCGUCAAACAGCAAAAGGUAACUGCUGUAAAUUGUUGAGAAAUUCUCUCGAGUGUUUAUGGGCUCCAUCAUCAAACCUGGUCGUGCGACACAGAUGAUCACACAGCAAGUAAUUGCUAUAAAUCGUUGAAAAGUUCCCUCGAUUAUCUUUCGUCUCCAUCAUCAGACUGUAAUGGCACUUGUAACUUAUAUAGGUGCAAAGUUCUCAUCAAUAGAAACGAAUUAAGUUCAAA